RNAcentral lists this ribosomal RNA (1458 nucleotides) under uncultured organism. RNAcentral's name for it is "SSU rRNA". It matches the Rfam family "Bacterial small subunit ribosomal RNA". The record is from RNAcentral.
AUGAACGCUAGCUACAGGCUUAACACAUGCAAGUCGAGGGGCAUCAGGAAGAAAGCUUGCUUUCUUUGCUGGCGACCGGCGCACGGGUGAGUAACACGUAUCCAACCUGCCCUUUACUCGGGGAUAGCCUUUCGAAAGAAAGAUUAAUACCCGAUAGCAUAAUGAUUCCGCAUGGUUUCAUUAUUAAAGGAUUCCGGUAAAGGAUGGGGAUGCGUUCCAUUAGGUUGUUGGUGAGGUAACGGCCCACCAAGCCUUCGAUGGAUAGGGGUUCUGAGAGGAAGGUCCCCCACAUUGGAACUGAGACACGGUCCAAACUCCUACGGGAGGCAGCAGUGAGGAAUAUUGGUCAAUGGGCGCUAGCCUGAACCAGCCAAGUAGCGUGAAGGAUGAAGGCUCUAUGGGUCGUAAACUUCUUUUAUAUAAGAAUAAAGUGCAGUAUGUAUACUGUUUUGUAUGUAUUAUAUGAAUAAGGAUCGGCUAACUCCGUGCCAGCAGCCGCGGUAAUACGGAGGAUCCGAGCGUUAUCCGGAUUUAUUGGGUUUAAAGGGAGCGUAGGUGGACUGGUAAGUCAGUUGUGAAAGUUUGCGGCUCAACCGUAAAAUUGCAGUUGAUACUGUCAGUCUUGAGUACAGUAGAGGUGGGCGGAAUUCGUGGUGUAGCGGUGAAAUGCUUAGAUAUCACGAAGAACUCCGAUUGCGAAGGCAGCUCACUGGACUUGCACUGACACUGAUGCUCGAAAGUGUGGGUAUCAAACAGGAUUUAGAUACCCUGGUAGUCCACACAGUAAACGAUGAAUACUCGCUGUUUGCGAUAUACAGUAAGCGGCCAAGCGAAAGCAUUAAGUAUUCCACCUGGGGGAGUACGCCGGCAACGGUGAAACUCAAAGGAAUUGACGGGGGCCCGCACAAGCGGAGGAACAUGUGGUUUAAUUCGAUGAUACGCGAGGAACCUUACCCGGGCUUAAAUUGCAGUGGAAUGAUGUGGAAACAUGUCAGUGAGCAAUCACCGCUGUGAAGGUGCUGCAUGGUUGUCGUCAGCUCGUGCCGUGAGGUGUCGGCUUAAGUGCCAUAACGAGCGCAACCCUUAUCUUUAGUUACUAACAGGUUAUGCUGAGGACUCUAGAGAGACUGCCGUCGUAAGAUGUGAGGAAGGUGGGGAUGACGUCAAAUCAGCACGGCCCUUACGUCCGGGGCUACACACGUGUUACAAUGGGGGGUACAGAAGGCAGCUAGCGGGUGACCGUAUGCUAAUCCCAAAAUCCUCUCUCAGUUCGGAUCGAAGUCUGCAACCCGACUUCGUGAAGCUGGAUUCGCUAGUAAUCGCGCAUCAGCCACGGCGCGGUGAAUACGUUCCCGGGCCUUGUACACACCGCCCGUCAAGCCAUGGGAGCCGGGGGUACCUGAAGUACGUAACCGCAAGGAUCGUCCUAGGGUAAAACUGGUGACUGGGGCUAAGUCG